This 644-nucleotide long non-coding RNA is filed under the name Homo sapiens (human). RNAcentral's name for it is "HSALNT0385247". The record is from RNAcentral. Lineage: Eukaryota; Metazoa; Chordata; Mammalia; Primates; Hominidae.
AAACCUCACCAGUACCUGCACAGGAGAAACACCACGGAUCACAGCGCGAUCUGAAUGGCAAGAGCCUUGCCCUCACCCCACACCUUCCCAGCCUGCUUCCCCUGGGACACAGCCGUUGCUCACUUCCUAUCUGGACCCCAGAGGCCUCAGCCUGCAUCCUCACCCAGACAGAGCAGUUCUCAAGGAUCCUCCCUGUGCCCAGAAGUCUCCCUAGCCUGAGUGGUACAUGGGCAUCCCUCGCCUUCCUGAGAUCCCCUAUUGGGCCCUUUGAGCCCCGUUGUCCCCCACACCCCCCAUCCCGCCCCCCAGCCAUGCCCCACGCCUUGCCUGGUGGGUGCGGGGGUCCCCCUCAGCAGGUGGGCUGUGGCUGGGGGGCGUCUCCCGGGACAGGGGGGGCGGCCCCCCCCAGAUGGGUCUGCAUGUGGCCGGCCAGCUGGGCAGGGGUCUUGCAGUGCACGCUGCACAGCUUGCACAGGAUGCGGUCAGCCCGCGGGGCCUGGAGCCCGUGGUCCUUCACCGCGUGGAUGCGCAGCCUUGGUACCUACAGAACUCAUUCUCCAUGGCCGGGAGACCUCUCCCAGGAUGACGAGACACUGACUCCUAGCCACUUGCAGGGUUGACCCUCAGCAGAGACGGCUGUGUCC